RNAcentral lists this ribosomal RNA (463 nucleotides) under uncultured bacterium. RNAcentral's name for it is "bacterial SSU rRNA". It matches the Rfam family "Bacterial small subunit ribosomal RNA", at positions 28 to 504 of the family's 1533-position model. The record is from RNAcentral.
GAUGAACGCUGGCGGCGUGCCUAAUACAUGCAAGUCGAACGGGAGACCUGGUUUCGACCGGGUUGAGAGUGGCGCACGGGUGAGGAACACAUGGCUGACCUGCCCUUCAGAGGGGGAUAACGGCUGGAAACGGCUGCUAAUACCCCAUACGCUCCUUGGGAUUAGAGGCCUGAGGAGGGAAGCCUUCGGGUGCUGAAGGAGGGGGCUGUGGCCCAUCAGCUUGUUGGUGAGGUAAUGGCUCACCAAGGCGACGACGGGUAGGGGGCCUGAGAGGGUGACCCCCCACACUGGGACUGAGACACGGCCCAGACUCCUACGGGAGGCAGCAGUAAGGGAUCUUGCGACAAUGGGCGAAAGCCUGACGCAGCAACGCCGCGUGCGGGAGGACGGCCUUCGGGUUGUAAACCGCUUUUCGGGGGGAAGAGGAAGGACGGUACCCCCGGAAGAAGUCUCGGCUAACUAC